This 912-nucleotide ribosomal RNA is filed under the name Levilactobacillus brevis. Its description in RNAcentral is "bacterial SSU rRNA". It matches the Rfam family "Bacterial small subunit ribosomal RNA", at positions 546 to 1460 of the family's 1533-position model. Lineage: Bacteria; Bacillati; Bacillota; Bacilli; Lactobacillales; Lactobacillaceae. The record is from RNAcentral.
CGGAUUAUUGGGCGUAAGCGAGCGCAGGCGGUUUUUUAAGUCUGAUGUGAAAGCCUUCGGCUUAACCGGAGAAGUGCAUCGGAAACUGGGAGACUUGAGUGCAGAAGAGGACAGUGGAACUCCAUGUGUAGCGGUGGAAUGCGUAGAUAUAUGGAAGAACACCAGUGGCGAAGGCGGCUGUCUAGUCUGUAACUGACGCUGAGGCUCGAAAGCAUGGGUAGCGAACAGGAUUAGAUACCCUGGUAGUCCAUGCCGUAAACGAUGAGUGCUAAGUGUUGGAGGGUUUCCGCCCUUCAGUGCUGCAGCUAACGCAUUAAGCACUCCGCCUGGGGAGUACGACCGCAAGGUUGAAACUCAAAGGAAUUGACGGGGGCCCGCACAAGCGGUGGAGCAUGUGGUUUAAUUCGAAGCUACGCGAAGAACCUUACCAGGUCUUGACAUCUUCUGCCAAUCUUAGAGAUAAGACGUUCCCUUCGGGGACAGAAUGACAGGUGGUGCAUGGUUGUCGUCAGCUCGUGUCGUGAGAUGUUGGGUUAAGUCCCGCAACGAGCGCAACCCUUAUUAUCAGUUGCCAGCAUUCAGUUGGGCACUCUGGUGAGACUGCCGGUGACAAACCGGAGGAAGGUGGGGAUGACGUCAAAUCAUCAUGCCCCUUAUGACCUGGGCUACACACGUGCUACAAUGGACGGUACAACGAGUCGCGAAGUCGUGAGGCUAAGCUAAUCUCUUAAAGCCGUUCUCAGUUCGGAUUGUAGGCUGCAACUCGCCUACAUGAAGUUGGAAUCGCUAGUAAUCGCGGAUCAGCAUGCCGCGGUGAAUACGUUCCCGGGCCUUGUACACACCGCCCGUCACACCAUGAGAGUUUGUAACACCCAAAGCCGGUGAGAUAACCUUCGGGAGUCAGCCGUCUAA